GGCAUGGUUGUCGUCAGCUCGUGUCGUGAGAUGUUGGGUUAAGUCCCGCAACCGAGCGCAACCCCUACUUGUUAGUUGCCAGUCAUUCAGUUGGGCACUCUAGCGAGACUGCCGGUAAUAAACCGGAGGAAGGUGGGGAUGACGUCAAGUCCUCAUGGCCUUUAUGACCAGGGCUACACACGUACUACAAUGGCCGGUACAAAGGGCAGCCACUUAGCGAUAAGGAGCCAAUCCCGUAAAGCCGGUCUCAGUCCGGAUUGGAGUCUGCAACUCGACUCCAUGAAGUUGGAAUCGCUAGUAAUCGCAGAUCAGCACGCUGCGGUGAAUACGUUCCCGGGCCUU
This 342-nucleotide ribosomal RNA is filed under the name uncultured Desulfocapsa sp. Its description in RNAcentral is "bacterial SSU rRNA". It matches the Rfam family "Bacterial small subunit ribosomal RNA", at positions 1042 to 1382 of the family's 1533-position model. The record is from RNAcentral. Lineage: Bacteria; Pseudomonadati; Thermodesulfobacteriota; Desulfobulbia; Desulfobulbales; Desulfocapsaceae.